RNAcentral lists this microRNA precursor (190 nucleotides) under Oryza brachyantha (malo sina). Its description in RNAcentral is "MIR812 microRNA precursor family". It matches the Rfam family "MIR812 microRNA precursor family". The record is from Rfam by way of RNAcentral. Lineage: Eukaryota; Viridiplantae; Streptophyta; Magnoliopsida; Poales; Poaceae.
AACAAAUCAACUUUUUAGCUUUUAGAUACAAUGUUUAACCUUUCGUCUUAUUAAAAAAAUUUAUGAUUAAUAGUUUAAUUUUUAUUAGAUGAUAAAACAUGAAUAGUACUUUAUGUGUGACUAAUUUUUUUAAAAUUUUUUGAAAUUUUUUUCAGAUAAGAUGAAUGGUCAAAUGCUCGACACAAAAACC